This 1202-nucleotide ribosomal RNA is filed under the name uncultured organism. RNAcentral describes it as "bacterial SSU rRNA". It matches the Rfam family "Bacterial small subunit ribosomal RNA", at positions 104 to 1311 of the family's 1533-position model. The record is from RNAcentral.
GGGUGAGUAUCGCGUUUGUAACCUUCCUCUAACUGGAGCAUAGCCCGAAGAAAUUCGGAUUAAUACUCCAUAAUACUAUAAGCUGGCAUCAGCUUACAGUUAAAGCUCCGGCGGUUAGAGAUGGGCAUGCGUGACAUUAGCUGGUUGGUGAGGUAACAGCUCACCAAGGCUACGAUGUCUAGGGGGUCUGAGAGGAUGGUCCCCCACACUGGUACUGAGACACGGACCAGACUCCUACGGGAGGCAGCAGUGAGGAAUAUUGGUCAAUGGGCGAAAGCCUGAACCAGCCAUGCCGCGUGAAGGAUGACAGCCCUACGGGUUGUAAACUUCUUUUAUACGGGAAGAAACACUCCUACGUGUAGGAGUUUGACGGUACCGUACGAAUAAGCAUCGGCUAACUCCGUGCCAGCAGCCGCGGUAAUACGGAGGAUGCAAGCGUUAUCCGGAUUUAUUGGGUUUAAAGGGUACGUAGGCGGAAGAUUAAGUCAGUGGUGAAAUCCUGCAGCUUAACUGUAGAACUGUCAUUGAUACUGGUUUUCUUGAAUGUAGUUGAGGUAGGCGGAAUGUGUAAUGUAGCGGUGAAAUGCUUAGAUAUUACACAGAACACCGAUUGCGAAGGCAGCUUACUAAACUGCGAUUGACGCUGAGGUACGAAAGCGUGGGGAGCGAACAGGAUUAGAUACCCUGGUAGUCCACGCUGUAAACGAUGAUCACUCGUUGUUGGCAAUACACCGUCAGCGACUGAGCGAAAGCAUUAAGUGAUCCACCUGGGGAGUACGACCGCAAGGUUGAAACUCAAAGGAAUUGACGGGGGCCCGCACAAGCGGAGGAACAUGUGGUUUAAUUCGAUGAUACGCGAGGAACCUUACCUGGGCUUAAAUGUAGAACGACGGAUCGGGAAACUGAUCUUUCUUCGGACGGUCUGCAAGGUGCUGCAUGGCUGUCGUCAGCUCGUGCCGUGAGGUGUCGGGUUAAGUCCCAUAACGAGCGCAACCCUCAUCAUUAGUUGCCAGCGGGUAAUGCCGGGGACUCUAAUGAAACUGCCGGUGUAAACCGAGAGGAAGGUGGGGAUGACGUCAAGUCAGCACGGCCCUUAUGUCCAGGGCUACACACGUGUUACAAUGGUCGGUACAAAGGGCAGCUACCUGGUAACAGGAUGCUAAUCUCGAAAACCGGUCUCAGUGUGGGGCGGUGUGUGCAAC